AUGCAAGUCGAGCGAAGCUUUUCAGUAGUUUACUACAGAAAAUGACUGAGCGGCGAACGGGUGAGUAACGCGUGAGCAAUCUACCUUAGUUACAGGGAUAGCCCGAGGAAACUCGGAUUAAUACCUGAUAUUCUUUAAAUUUCGCAUGAAAUUAAAAGGAAAGGUCAGCCGAACUAAGAUGAGCUCGCGUUCUAUCAGCUAGUUGGUGAGGUAAAAGCUCACCAAGGCAACGACGGAUAGCUGGUCUGAGAGGACGAUCAGCCACACUGGGACUGAGACACGGCCCAGACUCCUACGGGAGGCUGCAGCAGGGAAUAUUGCGCAAUGAGCGAAAGCUUGACGCAGCGACACCGCGUGUGGGAUGACGGAUCUAGGUUUGUAAACCACUUUCAGGAGGGAAGAAAAUGACGGUACCUCCACAAGAAGCCCCGGCCAACUACGUGCCAGCAGCCGCGGUAAUACGUAGGGGGCGAGCGUUGUCCGGAUUUAUUGGGCGUAAAGAGCUCGUAGGCGGUUCAACAAGUCGGUCGUAAAAGUUCAGGGCUCAACCCUGAAAUGUCGAUCGAUACUGUUGUGACUAGGAUACGGUAGAGGUGAGUGGAAUUCCGAGUGUAGCGGUGAAAUGCGUAGAUAUUCGGAGGAACACCAAUUGCGAAGGCAGCUCACUGGGCCGCUAUCGACGCUGAGGAGCGAAAGCUAGGGGAGCAAACAGGAUUAGAUACCCUGGUAGUCCUAGCUGUAAACGAUGGAUACUAGACGUAGGAACUGGAUUGACGGUUUCUGUGUCGUAGCUAACGCGUUAAGUAUCCCGCCUGGGGAGUACGGUCGCAAGACUAAAACUCAAAGGAAUUGACGGGACCCCGCACAAGCGGCGGAGCAUGCGGCUUAAUUCGAUGAUACCCGUAGAACCUUACCUGGACUUGACAUAUAGGGUCAAGCUAUAGAGAUAUAGUGUGCAUUAGCGCCCUAUACAGGUGGUGCAUGGCUGUCGUCAGCUCGUGUC
Molecule: ribosomal RNA, 1003 nt
Filed under: uncultured marine bacterium
Lineage: Bacteria
Description: bacterial SSU rRNA
Rfam family: Bacterial small subunit ribosomal RNA
Source: RNAcentral